RNAcentral lists this ribosomal RNA (497 nucleotides) under uncultured bacterium. Its description in RNAcentral is "partial 16S ribosomal RNA". It matches the Rfam family "Bacterial small subunit ribosomal RNA", at positions 28 to 507 of the family's 1533-position model. The record is from RNAcentral.
GAUGAACGCUGGCGGCGUGCCUAAUACAUGCAAGUCGAGCGAACGGACGAGAAUCUUGCUUCUCUGAUGUUAGCGGCGGACGGGUGAGUAACACGUGUAUAACCUACCUAUAAUACUGGUAUAACUUCGGGACACCGGCUCUAAUACCGGAUAAUAUUUUGAACCGCAUGGUUCAAAAGUGAAAGACGGUCUUGCUGUCACUUCUCGAUGGAUCUGCGCUGCAUUAGCUGGUUGGUAGGUUAACGGCUUACCAAGGCAACGAUGCAUAUACGACGGGAGAGGGUGAUAGGCCACAUGAGAGCGUGGACAGGGUCAUGACUACUGCGGGAGGCAGCAGUAGCGAAUCGGACGCAGUGGUCGAAAGCAUUACGGAGCAAGGGCGAGUGAGUUAUGACGGCCUUCGGAGCGGAAUACUCUGUUAUGAGUGAAGAACAGAUGUGUAAGGAGCUGUGCAGAGAGUGACGGUACCGAAUAAGAAAGCAACGGCUAACUACGUG